RNAcentral lists this transfer RNA (77 nucleotides) under Betaproteobacteria bacterium. RNAcentral's name for it is "tRNA-Arg". It matches the Rfam family "tRNA". From Rfam's summary of the family: Transfer RNA (tRNA) molecules are approximately 80 nucleotides in length. Their secondary structure includes four short double-helical elements and three loops (D, anti-codon, and T loops). Further hydrogen bonds mediate the characteristic L-shaped molecular structure. tRNAs have two regions of fundamental functional importance: the anti-codon, which is responsible for specific mRNA codon recognition, and the 3' end, to which the tRNAs corresponding amino acid is attached (by aminoacyl-tRNA synthetases). tRNAs cope with the degeneracy of the genetic code in two manners: having more than one tRNA (with a specific anti-codon) for a particular amino acid; and 'wobble' base-pairing, i.e. permitting non-standard base-pairing at the 3rd anti-codon position. The record is from RNAcentral. Lineage: Bacteria; Pseudomonadati; Pseudomonadota; Betaproteobacteria. RNAcentral also lists the same sequence under 1 other name.
GCGCCCGUAGCUCAGUUGGAUAGAGUAUUGCCCUCCGAAGGCAAGGGUCGGACGUUCGAAUCGUCUCGGGCGCGCCA